Molecule: non-coding RNA, 2097 nt
Organism: Lactuca sativa (garden lettuce)
Lineage: Eukaryota; Viridiplantae; Streptophyta; Magnoliopsida; Asterales; Asteraceae
Source: RefSeq, a predicted model, not a curated record
UGCAAAAUUGAUCACUCUUUCUCUCUCUCUCUCUCUCUCUCUCUCUCUCUCUCUCUCUCUCUCUCUCACACACACACAUACUCUCGAUCGAUCAAUCGAUCGACAUACUCCGACGCCUCUCUUCACUGGCGAGCACCUCUUCAAAACUCAUCGUCAAUCAAGCUAAUUCAGUGUCUCUUCAUCGCCGAUUCAAAAUUGAUUUCAGAUUUAAAUUCGUCGGGUCUUCAGUAUUGAACAACCAGCUCAAGUUCCUCACCCUCAUCUCCAGCCUUCAUCAGAGAACCUUCCGUAACUAUUUCCCAUGGCGUCUGCUUCUCUCUGCACAUUUCAAUAACGAUUCCGAUCUCCUCAGCUUCAAAUCCCCUCUCCUUUAGCAACAUUUCUUCAAUUGGAUUUUCUGAGAGAAAGAAGUGCAGGAGCAUCCAAAAUAAUCGGAGUUUUGUUCAUAGAAUCAUGUGUUCAUCAAAAGAGCCACCAGCAGAAACAGGGCUCACAUCAAAAGCAUUUGAAUCACUAAAGAUUGGGUCAACAACCAUCAUAGUGGAAGCUCCUAAAAUGUUGAAGACAACAACUUCUUUGCCUUGUCUCAGAGUUAAUUCUGUUUUAGUUAAAGCCGAUGAUGUUGGCAGGUAAAUUUUUUACCGAACAUCUAUAACAAGAGAGCUUUUUGGUGGAAUUUUUUCAUUAUAAAACUUUAAAUGAAAAAGCUCCUUUUAUCUCCAUAAUAGAAACGUUAUUUUAGUUUGUUAUUUGUGGGGACCUUGUAUAUGUUGUCUAUAUACAAUUGGUUGAAAACCCAUGGAUCCACCAAAUCAUUGAAAGCUUGUUAAUUAACAAGCUCUUUGAAAAAGAUCAUCCAAUAACUUCUUCAAUUUUCUUGAGUUUUUUUUUUUUUACAUGAAAAAGCUCCUAUUGUGAUGUUCUUAUUAACUAGUUAUUUGGUUUCAUUUCAUACCUUUUUUUAGUAAAUAUCAUAUAUGCUUAAUAAAUUUGGAACCAGUUAAAAGGGUGAAGGAUAUCUUUAAUUAAUAUACACUAACAGAGACAAUGGUGCCUUUAAAGAGAAACUUAUUAAUUUCAUGAACAAAAGUUGAUCUAUAUUAUAGCAAAUUUUUUUGAAGGUUGUGUUCAAAGUAAACAACUGAUUUUGAUAUUUCCAUUUCUAAACUAUACUUAAGAGUAUUACUUUGAUGGAAGAUCAUAGACACAUCCUCAAGAUUAUAGUUUUUGAUUAAAGUAAAAAACUAAGAAUACACAUUUGAUAUAUAAGAAAUAAGGAAUAUUAUCACCAUAACUAUAGCAUGCCACCGAUGUUAUCUUGUUUAAUGCACCUUGUGUGCAAGAUUUUAUUAAGGCAUUGUAUUUUUUUUUUUUUUUUCGAAUUUACCAUUUAUAGCAUCUUACUUUCAAUUUUUCUUUUUGUUUUUUAGAUAUUAUUCUUUGAAAAUUUUAUCAACUACUUUGUAAUUUGUAGAGAUUGAUCCUUCGCUCACAACUCACAUGGGAGGGACAAUGAGUUUUUAACAUCAUUAUAAAUGGUGAUAACAUGUUUCAAGAGAUUAAUAUUGUCAAAAUGAAUGGAGAUAUUAAUAGUGCUCUUGUGCUAACAGUCCAUGUUAGCAGGAGGAGUUUGACAAUAAUUUUGCAGCUUGUAAAAGGUAGUCAUACCAGUCAUAUCAUAAUCAGUGCCAUAGAGACCAUAGAGAUCUUUGAAAUUGUUAGAGCCGAGGCCAAUACUUCAAUUGAUUAAGUAAAAGCUUUGCAGAAAUUGAAGAGUUCUUUUCAGUUGGAAUGGCGAUCCAUGUGUUCCACAGCAGCAUCCAUGGAGUGGGAUUGGGUGAUGAAUAAGGCUAGAAUGCACAGCCGGAAUGGGCUAGAAUGUAAUCAGGAAUGCAUUGCAGGAAUGGGGGAUGUGACAUCAAGUACAAUUGUUUAUGGUGUAUUAGAUUCUUUUAUGUGAUGGUUUUAAUACUAUAGAUAGGAUACAUAUAGAGUACAGUUAAAUUACAGGUAAUUGCUGGUUGUUAAUACUAAGUAAUGGGAUUUAACAUUUAACUUAGGUAAGGUAUAAUUUAAUGUAACAAUGUGAUUUGAUGA